This 2263-nucleotide ribosomal RNA is filed under the name Salmonella enterica subsp. enterica serovar Johannesburg. RNAcentral describes it as "partial 23S ribosomal RNA". It matches the Rfam family "Bacterial large subunit ribosomal RNA", at positions 699 to 2925 of the family's 2925-position model. The record is from RNAcentral. Lineage: Bacteria; Pseudomonadati; Pseudomonadota; Gammaproteobacteria; Enterobacterales; Enterobacteriaceae.
GUUGCAGGGUAUAGACCCGAAACCCGGUGAUCUAGCCAUGGGCAGGUUGAAGGUUGGGUAACACUAACUGGAGGACCGAACCGACUAAUGUUGAAAAAUUAGCGGAUGACCUGUGGCUGGGGGUGAAAGGCCAAUCAAACCGGGAGAUAGCUGGUUCUCCCCGAAAGCUAUUUAGGUAGCGCCUCGUGAAUUCAUCUCCGGGGGUAGAGCACUGUUUCGGCUAGGGGGCCAUCCCGGCUUACCAACCCGAUGCAAACUGCGAAUACCGGAGAAUGUUAUCACGGGAGACACACGGCGGGUGCUAACGUCCGUCGUGAAGAGGGAAACAACCCAGACCGCCAGCUAAGGUCCCAAAGUCAUGGUUAAGUGGGAAACGAUGUGGGAAGGCCCAGACAGCCAGGAUGUUGGCUUAGAAGCAGCCAUCAUUUAAAGAAAGCGUAAUAGCUCACUGGUCGAGUCGGCCUGCGCGGAAGAUGUAACGGGGCUAAACCAUGCACCGAAGCUGCGGCAGCGACGCUGAUGCGUUGUUGGGUAGGGGAGCGUUCUGUAAGCCUGCGAAGGUGUGUCGUGAGGCAUGCUGGAGGUAUCAGAAGUGCGAAUGCUGACAUAAGUAACGAUAAAGCGGGUGAAAAGCCCGCUCGCCGGAAGACCAAGGGUUCCUGUCCAACGUUAAUCGGGGCAGGGUGAGUCGACCCCUAAGGCGAGGCCGAAAGGCGUAGUCGAUGGGAAACGGGUUAAUAUUCCCGUACUUGGUGUUACUGCGAAGGGGGGACGGAGAAGGCUAUGUUGGCCGGGCGACGGUUGUCCCGGUUUAAGCGUGUAGGUGUGUGUUCCAGGUAAAUCCGGUUCACUUUAACACUGAGGCGUGAUGACGAGGCACUACGGUGCUGAAGCAACAAAUGCCCUGCUUCCAGGAAAAGCCUCUAAGCAUCAGGUAACAUCAAAUCGUACCCCAAACCGACACAGGUGGUCAGGUAGAGAAUACCAAGGCGCUUGAGAGAACUCGGGUGAAGGAACUAGGCAAAAUGGUGCCGUAACUUCGGGAGAAGGCACGCUGACACGUAGGUGAAGUGAUUUACUCAUGGAGCUGAAGUCAGUCGAAGAUACCAGCUGGCUGCAACUGUUUAUUAAAAACACAGCACUGUGCAAACACGAAAGUGGACGUAUACGGUGUGACGCCUGCCCGGUGCCGGAAGGUUAAUUGAUGGGGUCAGCGCAAGCGAAGCUCCUGAUCGAAGCCCCGGUAAACGGCGGCCGUAACUAUAACGGUCCUAAGGUAGCGAAAUUCCUUGUCGGGUAAGUUCCGACCUGCACGAAUGGCGUAAUGAUGGCCAGGCUGUCUCCACCCGAGACUCAGUGAAAUUGAACUCGCUGUGAAGAUGCAGUGUACCCGCGGCAAGACGGAAAGACCCCGUGAACCUUUACUAUAGCUUGACACUGAACAUUGAGCCUUGAUGUGUAGGAUAGGUGGGAGGCUUUGAAGUGUGGACGCCAGUCUGCAUGGAGCCGGCCUUGAAAUACCACCCUUUAAUGUUUGAUGUUCUAACGUGGACCCGUGAUCCGGGUUGCGGACAGUGUCUGGUGGGUAGUUUGACUGGGGCGGUCUCCUCCUAAAGAGUAACGGAGGAGCACGAAGGUUGGCUAAUCCUGGUCGGACAUCAGGAGGUUAGUGCAAUGGCAUAAGCCAGCUUGACUGCGAGCGUGACGGCGCGAGCAGGUGCGAAAGCAGGUCAUAGUGAUCCGGUGGUUCUGAAUGGAAGGGCCAUCGCUCAACGGAUAAAAGGUACUCCGGGGAUAACAGGCUGAUACCGCCCAAGAGUUCAUAUCGACGGCGGUGUUUGGCACCUCGAUGUCGGCUCAUCACAUCCUGGGGCUGAAGUAGGUCCCAAGGGUAUGGCUGUUCGCCAUUUAAAGUGGUACGCGAGCUGGGUUUAGAACGUCGUGAGACAGUUCGGUCCCUAUCUGCCGUGGGCGCUGGAGAACUGAGGGGGGCUGCUCCUAGUACGAGAGGACCGGAGUGGACGCAUCACUGGUGUUCGGGUUGUCAUGCCAAUGGCACUGCCCGGUAGCUAAAUGCGGAAGAGAUAAGUGCUGAAAGCAUCUAAGCACGAAACUUGCCCCGAGAUGAGUUCUCCCUGAGACUUAGAGUCUCCUGAAGGAACGUUGAAGACGACGACGUUGAUAGGCCGGGUGUGUAAGCGCAGCGAUGCGUUGAGCUAACCGGUACUAAUGAACCGUGAGGCUUAACCUUACAACGCCGAAG